RNAcentral lists this ribosomal RNA (429 nucleotides) under uncultured archaeon. RNAcentral describes it as "bacterial SSU rRNA". It matches the Rfam family "Archaeal small subunit ribosomal RNA", at positions 474 to 903 of the family's 1478-position model. The record is from RNAcentral.
UACCAGCUCUCCGAGUGGUGUGGAUGUUUAUUGGGCCUAAAGCAUCCGUAGCUGGCUGGGCAAGUCCCCUGUUAAAUCCACCGAUUUAAUCGUUGGAGUGCGGGGGAUACUGUUCGGCUAGGGGACGGGAGAGGCAGACGGUAUUUUCGGGGUAGGGGUGAAAUCCUAUAAUCCCGGGAAGACCACCAGUGGCGAAGGCUGUCUGCUAGAACGCGCCCGACGGUGAGGGAUGAAAGCUGGGGGAGCGAACCGGAUUAGAUACCCGGGUAGUCCCAGCUGUAAACGAUGCAGGCUAGGUGUUUGGGCGGCCACGUGCCGCUCUAGUGCCGCAGGGAAGCCGUUAAGCCUGCCGCCUGGGGAGUACGGCCGCAAGGCUGGAACUUAAAGGAAUUGGCGGGGGAGCACCACAAGGGGUGAAGCUUGCGGUUU